This 116-nucleotide ribosomal RNA is filed under the name Pteropus alecto (black flying fox). The record is from RNAcentral. Lineage: Eukaryota; Metazoa; Chordata; Mammalia; Chiroptera; Pteropodidae.
GUCUACUGCCAUGCCACCCUGAACAAGCCUAAUGUCUGAUCUUGGAAGCUAAGCAGGGUCGGGCCUGGUUAGUACUUGGAUGGGAAACCACCUAGGUAGACCAGGUUCUGUAAGCA